AGAUCCCAGGCGAUCCAAGGCCAUUUGUUCAGACACAAGCCCUAUCCUCCCCUCCCUCUUGUUUCCCGUCCCUAGGACUCCAGGUUCAAUCACAGGCAGUCUACAAAGCAACCCAUUUAGAAAUAUUGGGAGACUCGGGGAAAAAUAGGUUAUUCUUCCCCUCCCCCUUUAAAAAAAAGCAUUUUCUCACACAUGAUCUGAUCGAGAGCAAACUUAAUUUAAAACGGAAAAAGAGAGAGGCUGGAGCUCCAAAGUACAGACUGGAAAAAGCAUCUUCAGUGAGUGAAACCAGCAUAGCGCUGUGCAAAGAGAACUUAGAGAGAGAGAGAGAGAGAGAGAGAGCGCUCCUUACUACGCUUCGGCAUGUAAAAGGUUUCCUUUCUUUUUUUGGUGGUUACCUGAAGAGAGACAUAUUAAUCCAAAGAGGUAAAAGUGAGCAAACUCCGCGAUCAUUGUCCUCAGGUGGCGCCUGCAAAUAGUCUCAUGCCAAAUGGGAGGGGGGAGGAAUACAAAUUAAAAGCCCCCUCCGAUUGUAAAUCCACAGAAGCUUAAUAUAAGCAAGGUUUCCUAAUCCUCCAGGAGUUAAUAGUGAGUACUCCCCGAAGAAGGUAUUGUCAGCAGCACCCCAAGUCUUGUAACUUCUCUCCCUUGCCCUGGAUUUUCCUAGAAGGGGCUUUGACACUUCCUGGGACCAUCAAAAGCGAAGAAGAAAACAAAAGAUCCGCAAUUUUCUGCAGCUUGGAUUCUCUGUGCCCUGUUCGCAAGCUGCUUCUCCAGCCUGGGACUUCGCCUUCAGCACCCAGGCCACUUGCAAGUAUCCCAACAGAGCACUGCCCCUCCGAGACCAUAAACCACUGCAGCACCCUGGCAGGCGGAGAGAGGAAAAGAAGUGCUUGCUGCGACUUGAGCCACACAAAGUCACUGGACAUCCGAGGCAGGCGCAGGGGUGACGGCUGCUCUGGGUGAGGGCCCCGGCUCGGUGCUUGUGGCAGGCUGGAGGGAAGAGUGAGGUGGAGCAGCAGCAGCCUUUGCUCCCAUCACUUGGGGGGGAAAGCCAGGAGUGGAGGCAGCAGCAGAGCCUUGCAGGAGCCACGCGCAGCAGAAGGGUCACCCCAGCAGCAACUCCUCGCCCUGCCCUGCAUCUCCCCCCUCUGCCCUGCAAGCGGGCAUGCAGACCUCUCCCUUCCCGGAGACGGACACAAAAGAGAGAGGAGAGCACAAAACUUCCAAGGGCCACCGCCCCCAACCCACCCACCCGGCCCCCUAGUGCAGCCGCGGGAGGAGGAGCAGCAGCCGCUCCUUCGCCUCCCUUCCUGCAAGGGUAGGGGUGCAGCAGCAGGAGCAGGCGGGGUCUAGGCACCGCGGCGUCUCCGUGGUGCUCUGAGCAGCGUCUGAAGUUUCUCGUGCCCGCCGUGGGUCCCCCUGGUCCCUGCUCCAGCUGCGGGGCUGAUGCCGCCCGAGGACACCUUAAAGGAGCCGCCCCUAGACAAGCCCCACACGCCUAAGGCGGAGAGGCGCGCGCCGCGUGGCACGGGACCAGGCCGCCCAGGUCUCCCCGCAGCUUGAGAGGUGAAGCCCCAGCGUGUAACGCCACCGAAAGGAGGCUACAGACUUGGCAAAGGAGCUUCAACAUGAAGUUGGUGCCUUGGUCCGUCAGGACUUCCCGGGCGAGGCCUAGUUGGGCAAAGAUUUUCAAGAGCUCUGCAGCAAUCAUUCAGGCUGUGAUGUUCCAAAAGGGGACUGCUUCUGGAAACCGAGUGGCAUAAUCUAGGACCACCAGGAUGUAUUGGAAUCCUAUGACACUCUUUGGGAGGGGCCCUAUGAGGUCCAGGGUGAUCCUUUCCAAUGGGGUGGCAACCACUGGCAAGGGAAUGAAAGGUUCCCUUGAUACUCCCCUUGGGGUUGCUCGUUGGCACUCAGGGAGGAGACACAGAAAUCUUUCACCUCCCUGUACACUCCAGGCCAGAAGACUCAGGCGAGGGCUCAUGCUGGAGUUUUUUCAUGACCCAGUUGCCCAGCCGCUGGAUCGUCAUGGGCAAGCCGCAAGACUGCACACUGGUGUCAUCGGAGUACCAUGAGCUGGGCUCGGGUUUCAUGUGUCCAAGAGUGAUCCAGUAAAGGCAGUCCUCAGUCAAUUUGAAAUUGGGGUAUACUGUUGCCCCGGAGGGGCUCCGGCAUGGUCCCAUUAACACAAGCCAGCUCUUAAUAGGCCGACUCAGUGAGGGAUCCUCCCAUUGGUCCCGGAUAAAGUCUACCCCCAAAUUCGGGGCCUCUUCUUGAGUGGAUUGCCCGGGGUCAACCUCUUCAUCCAGGGGGUCAGGGUCUCUGGUUCUGCGGUCCUUUUAGUCGGGGUUCUCAGGAUGGCCCAUUGCUCCAGGGGUCACUUGGCUGCCGAGGCGACCCUCUCAAAAAUGAUGAGGAAGGCUUCUGGAUCGUCCUCAGGGCCCAUUUUCGCCAAGCGCACCAGCACUGUGGUGUCAGCCGGGGCUGCUGCAUCCCUGGUGUUGGAGCCACCUGGGGUCGGCACAAGCGCCGCAAGCUACUGUAAGCACUGUUGCUGCUGCUCAGUUUUAGGCACACAGUUCUUGAAUCAGUUGCUGUUGCUGAUUCCCUAGUAGUUGCAGUAGUUGUUGCUGCUGGAGCUGUCCCACCUGCUGUUGCUGUUGGCUCUCAGCGAGCCAUUUGAUCAGUUUCUCAAUCUUCAUCCUUCCCAAACUGGGGGAGGGUGACAGAGUUCUGUCUAGUGCUGUCCUUGGCUUAUCCUCUUAUCUCAGGGGAGGGGAUGAUGCCCACAUUCUCCACCAAAUGCAGUGAUCAUUCGCUGUCCAGUGGGGAGAGAGACCACUCUGCAUUUUGUAUUGGGCGGUAACCCUCGGGCUUGUUCCAUAAUAUUAUUUCAAUAUUUUGCAAAUUUGUAUGGAUUCUCAAGUUUUCUAUGUAGUCUUAAGCAUGUUGCUAAAAUAUAUUAGUGAUCCCAUGCUCUCCAUGUUGUAAUUGCAAUGGGGGAGGUAGAAUAGUAGACAGAGAAUAGGAGAUAUGUUCAAAUGUGUAUGAUAACUCAGUUUAUCUCACAGAUAUUGCCAAUUAUAGGACACCUGUCUCAUGUAUGUUAUAAGGAUCCGUAUAAAACAUUGCUAACAUAUGGAAUCAGUGGAGCAAAUCAGUGCUGCCGCUAGGGGACACAGGUAGGAAUCCUAUCCCGGACAUGAGUUUAGCAAGGGAUUUACAACAGCUCACUUGAGGUGUUUUUUCUUUUUCUUUUUCUUUCAAAGCUGCUGCUUGUAGUCCAUGGCAGGAAGCAGCAGAGAGCAUCAGUCUGUCUCCUUCCUGCACCUGCUCCUCCACCCAAGGUCAGACAGGCCUGCAGGGUAUAGGCAAAUCUCCAGAGGCCCCAGCCAAGUGCAGCUUUAAAAACAAAACAAAUCUUCGAUGUGUUCUAAAUAAGAGCCUUGUCUGUGUACAACUGCUGAAGGGACAGGUCUCUUAGCUCUCCCUCCAGAGACUUCUUUACUUAAUUUAAAAGCUAGCAGCUGCCUCCCUUUGAUGAUGCUGGCACCAUUGGAAAACACCACGGGUGUGAAAGGUUUAUGAAAUACUGCCUGCCUCCAGUGGACCACUUCUGUUCCUACAAGAUGGGGGAGGCUUCCUCUGGGGUUUCCCAAGUGAGAUAGCAGUUUAGAAAAGGAUCAUAUAACUCUCCUACUUCCCAAGCUCAACUGUGAGGAGACGGGAGCAUCCUGCCUGUCUAGCUUAUAUAGCCAGCAUAGCAAAAGGGAGCAGAACUGGGAGCAGGUAAAUGUCCUACCCUUAGCCCAAGACCACAGACAGAGCUGCAUAGACACUAUGGCUGCCUUCAAGAAAUGAAACAAGAACAGAUCAGCUCCUUAACUAUAAAGCUGGAAGGAGGCAGCAGCAUAACAGCAGCUUGGCUAGGAAUAUGGGAUGAAAUUAUUGCCCCACUGAAGUCAAUGGGGAAAACCACACUGAUUUCAAUAAGGCAGGAUUCCCCCAAUGGUCUCUUCCUCCCAUUUUAUAACCAUUCAGGUUGUAAUUCCCAGGUGAAGAGGUGGAACAGAUGUAUCAGGAUAGAAAAAUCUGGCUAAAAAAGAAAACGAAUGGCAAAAAGUCAUGAGAUUUUCAGAAAAGAUAUUUUUUUGGAUUCUUUUUAUUUGCUUUCUGUCUUUUAAGCCUUUAGAGCGCAUAUUUCCAAGGUUUUCUUCUCGACUAAGAAUCUAGAAUCUUCCUUUUUAAAAAAAAUGAAAGUUGAGAUUCUCACAUCAUAACAUGAUUCCAGGAACUGGGGGAUUUAGACUCACAAUAACAUUGCAAGAGUUGGCUAUGAAAGUAUGGUACUAUUCAAGGGCCAGUUCCAGUUAAGUAAAUGAGGCUACUCAAAUGAGUAUGGGUUUAGGGAGGAUUGGACUCAAAAUGCUGUACAGUUCAAUGUAUUAACAAAAAUGUGUACUACUUUUUAAAAUGUAAAAUUUUAAAUUUUCUUCUAAACUUUUUUAAAAAGAAAUGUGCUUAAUCUUGGCCUCAUAUGUUGUUGCAAAUAAAAAUCGUCUACAUGUGUAGUAUCCAGUUUGACUACAAAGGGUAGAAUGCAUUUGCAUAAUAGAAAGUAGGCGUAAGUCUAUAGAGUUUUAAUUAAUUAGUACUGUGCAUUGAUUUUAGGUCUUAAAAAUGCAGAGGACUUUUUAAAAAAAAUCCUUUGUAUGGAGACUAAUUAUAAUAGAAAAAUCUCCAGUUACAUUAAGAUUCUAUUAGUUUAAUUCAUUUCAGACCCUACAUUAUUUUAUUGCAAAUUUGUUUUAAAAUAUUCGUCAGACCUUUGAGGGGCUUGAGCUGUUCUUAAAUGGGCUCAUUUUCACAAGGUAGCAUUGCUAUCUAGUGAACUACUGUAUGCUGUAAUGCCCUCUGCUGGUAGUAAGCUGGUAAAAUCUUCUUCGCUCUUAGAGGGUGUGGAAAUGUGUUAAAUAUUGAGAUGUGAGAGUAAAAGCAACACUAACUUUCAGCAAUAUACUAAUCACUGACAUUAUGCUAUAAAUCGGGAACAAAACCAGCAGACUUGUUUCCAAAAAAAUGAUGUGCCAUAAAUGGCAUCCAUUUUCCAUAAACUCUGCAACACCUUCAAAAUUCAUUAACCAAAGUAUUUCAAACUUAUUUACAGGGCUAAAGAGCUGGAAUAUUUUGGGUAUUAACUGAUACCAUCCAUUUACUUCAAGCUAACACUCUCUGCAUCAACAAAUCAAAACUUCACGAAAACUUUACUAGGAUGAUCGUAUUAGACUCCAGUAUUUCAGCAGGAAUUGCAAUGGUCAUUGAAACCAAGUGGUUCAAUAAUUUGCUUGCAUUUUCCCCACCCUACUUGUGUACAGAAUUCACUUACAAACAAACACAAUUGUGCUCAUCUGAAGCCAUUAUUAUAGUAAAACUAUUGUAUAAGUGCACCAUGACUAACUGUAUAUGAUACUCCUGGUCAGUGAUUAGAAACUUUCAUAAAAAUAAGAGUGAUACACUAUGCAAUUGAACAAGCACAUAUUGAAGAAACCAGAUUAAAUCAUUGUAUGAUAUGAAUACUUUAAAA
Molecule: long non-coding RNA, 5587 nt
Organism: Chrysemys picta bellii (western painted turtle)
Lineage: Eukaryota; Metazoa; Chordata; Testudines; Emydidae
Source: RefSeq, a predicted model, not a curated record